ACACGUCAUACAAUGGUCGGGACAGAGGGUCGCCAACCCGCGAGGGGGAGCCAAUCCCAGAAACCCGAUCGUAGUCCGGAUCGCAGUCUGCAACUCGACUGCGUGAAGUCGGAAUCGCUAGUAAUCGCGGAUCAGCAUGUCGCGGUGAAUACGUUCCCGGGUCUUGUACACACCGCCCGUCACACCAUGGGAGUGGGUUUUACCA
RNAcentral lists this ribosomal RNA (205 nucleotides) under Yersinia pestis subsp. pestis. RNAcentral describes it as "partial 16S ribosomal RNA". It matches the Rfam family "Bacterial small subunit ribosomal RNA", at positions 1218 to 1422 of the family's 1533-position model. The record is from RNAcentral. Lineage: Bacteria; Pseudomonadati; Pseudomonadota; Gammaproteobacteria; Enterobacterales; Yersiniaceae.